Molecule: non-coding RNA, 73 nt
Organism: Gossypium arboreum
Lineage: Eukaryota; Viridiplantae; Streptophyta; Magnoliopsida; Malvales; Malvaceae
Source: Rfam
GUGCCUGUAGCUCAGUGGAUGGAGCGUAUGUUUCCUAAGCAGAAGGUCAUAGGUUCGACCCCUAUCUGACGCG